RNAcentral lists this ribosomal RNA (780 nucleotides) under uncultured Donghicola sp. RNAcentral describes it as "bacterial SSU rRNA". It matches the Rfam family "Bacterial small subunit ribosomal RNA", at positions 1 to 825 of the family's 1533-position model. The record is from RNAcentral. Lineage: Bacteria; Pseudomonadati; Pseudomonadota; Alphaproteobacteria; Rhodobacterales; Roseobacteraceae.
AAUUCGAUUAGAGUUUGAUCCUGGCUCAGAACGAACGCUGGCGGCAGGCCUAACACAUGCAAGUCGAGCGAGACCUUCGGGUCUAGCGGCGGACGGGUUAGUAACGCGUGGGAACGUGCCCUUUACUACGGAAUAGUCCCGGGAAACUGGGUUUAAUACCGUAUACGCCCUUCGGGGGAAAGAUUUAUCGGUAAAGGAUCGGCCCGCGUUAGAUUAGAUAGUUGGUGGGGUAAUGGCCUACCAAGUCUACGAUCUAUAGCUGGUUUGAGAGGAUGAUCAGCAACACUGGGACUGAGACACGGCCCAGACUCCUACGGGAGGCAGCAGUGGGGAAUCUUAGACAAUGGGCGCAAGCCUGAUCUAGCCAUGCCGCGUGAGUGACGAAGGCCUUAGGGUCGUAAAGCUCUUUCGCCAGGGAUGAUAAUGACAGUACCUGGUAAAGAAACCCCGGCUAACUCCGUGCCAGCAGCCGCGGUAAUACGGAGGGGGUUAGCGUUGUUCGGAAUUACUGGGCGUAAAGCGCACGUAGGCGGACUGGAAAGUUGGGGGUGAAAUCCCGGGGCUCAACCUCGGAACUGCCUCCAAAACUACUAGUCUAGAGUUCGAGAGAGGUGAGUGGAAUUCCGAGUGUAGAGGUGAAAUUCGUAGAUAUUCGGAGGAACACCAGUGGCGAAGGCGGCUCACUGGCUCGAUACUGACGCUGAGGUGCGAAAGUGUGGGGAGCAAACAGGAUUAGAUACCCUGGUAGUCCACACCGUAAACGAUGAAUGCCAGUCGUCG